GACGAACGCUGGCGGCGUGCCUAAUACAUGCAAGUAGAACGCACAGUUUAUACCGUAGCUUGCUACACCAUAGACUGUGAGUUGCGAACGGGUGAGUAACGCGUAGGUAACCUGCCUGGUAGCGGGGGAUAACUAUUGGAAACGAUAGCUAAUACCGCAUAAUAUUAAUUAUUGCAUGAUAAUUAAUUGAAAGGUGCAAUUGCACCACUACCAGAUGGACCUGCGUUGUAUUAGCUAGUAGGUGAGGUAACGGCUCACCUAGGCGACGAUACAUAGCCGACCUGAGAGGGUGAUCGGCCACACUGGGACUGAGACACGGCCCAGACUCCUACGGGAGGCAGCAGUAGGGAAUCUUCGGCAAUGGACGAAGGUCUGACCGAGCAGCGCCGCGUGAGUGAAGAAGGUUUUCGGAUCGUAAAGCUCUGUUGUAAGAGAAGAACGGGUGUGAGAGUGGAAAGUUCACACUGUGACGGUAUCUUACCAGAAAGGGACGGCUAACUACGU
This 504-nucleotide ribosomal RNA is filed under the name uncultured bacterium. RNAcentral describes it as "partial 16S ribosomal RNA". It matches the Rfam family "Bacterial small subunit ribosomal RNA", at positions 28 to 506 of the family's 1533-position model. The record is from RNAcentral.